This 463-nucleotide ribosomal RNA is filed under the name uncultured bacterium. RNAcentral's name for it is "partial 16S ribosomal RNA". It matches the Rfam family "Bacterial small subunit ribosomal RNA", at positions 29 to 523 of the family's 1533-position model. The record is from RNAcentral.
AACGAACGCUGGCGGCAGGCUUAACACAUGCAAGUCGAACGCGCCCUUCGGGGCGAGUGGCAGACGGGUGAGUAACGCGUGGGAACCUACCUUUUGGUACGGAAUAACUCAGGGAAACUUGAGCUGAUACCGUAUAAGCCCUGACUUUUAAUCGGGUCUGGGGAAAGAUUCAUCGCCAAAGGAUGGGCCCGCGUCGGAUUAGCUAGUUGGUGGGGUAAUGGCCUACCAAGGCGACGAUCCGUAGCUGGUCUGAGAGGAUGAUCAGCCACACUGGGACUGAGACACGGCCCAGACUCCUACGGGAGGCAGCAGUGGGGAAUAUUGGACAAUGGGGGCAACCCUGAUCCAGCCAUGCCGCGUGAGUGAUGAAGGCCUUAGGGUUGUAAAGCUCUUUCGCCGGUGAAGAUAAUGACGGUAACCGGAGAAGAAGCCCCGGCUAACUUCGUGCCAGCCGCCGCCGUAA